CUCGUAGGCGGCCUGUCGCGUCGGCUGUGAAAUCCCGGGGCUCAACCCCGGGCCUGCAGUCGAUACGGGCAGGCUAGAGUCCGGUAGGGGAGACUGGAAUUCCUGGUGUAGCGGUGAAAUGCGCAGAUAUCAGGAGGAACACCGGUGGCGAAGGCGGGUCUCUGGGCCGGAACUGACGCUAAGGAGCGAAAGCGUGGGGAGCGAACA
This 207-nucleotide ribosomal RNA is filed under the name uncultured bacterium. Its description in RNAcentral is "partial 16S ribosomal RNA". It matches the Rfam family "Bacterial small subunit ribosomal RNA", at positions 568 to 774 of the family's 1533-position model. The record is from RNAcentral.